AUGAUAAGAUAACGUAUAUGUAUGUAAUUAUUUACAUCAAACCUUGAACGAAUUAGAAUAAUUUGCUUCAAAUAAGAAAAAUUAUUAGCAGUAAAUAUUGACAAUAAGACAGUGCAAUGUUUGCAUUACAAUUUGUUAUUUUAAAUAAAUUACUUACAGCAAGUUGGAUUAUGUCGAGCAGCGCGCGUUUCAUUCAAGAUUUAAAAUAUUGAUUUGCUCGCGACGAUGUCUCUACUGCUCAUGCUCGUUAAGCUUUCACUAUCGCUUGAAAGCUCGAAACUCAACCAAAAAAAUGUUCACCAUGCCGCUAGCUUGUUGUUACUAAUAAAAUGUUUAUUACGCGUUAAGCUUUAUUGUUGCUUUAUACUGAAAUGUAGUCUAUAUGAAUUGCCGUAAAGGCAGUAUUCGUCGUCGUCCAAAUUGUUAAAAAAAGGUAGGUCAAUCAGAUUACAUUUAUAGACAAAAUAAUUAGAACAGUUCGAUGUUUCAGGUCACACAUUUUACACAUCUUCAGUUGUAUCAUAAGAAUGUAAUUGUAAAAAUUGAACACUGCAUUAUGUAAACUUUAUAUAUAUCUAUUUAAUUUUUCCAUUAUAUAAUUAUAUUCAUGAACUCAUAAUGUUUUUAGUUUUUUGUUUAAAUAAAAUUUGUGUACAUUAUUGUACACACUUAAUAUCAAUAUGAAGCUAUAUAAUUAUUUGUUUUAAUACUGGUUACUGUCAGAAUAAUUUUAUGUUUUACAGUACUACAUUCAAUAAUAUUAUUUGCAAAUAUUUACAAUUACAGGCCUCACCAUUGCGAACAUAAUUCCUAUUAUGAUGUUGGGGCGCAAGCAGAGCCUCAAAGGGGAACCCGUCUUGGCCGAUUAUGGGCCAGAGGAGUCCCUCAAUGAGAGCGCUGACAUAGAAUGGGUGAAUAAGCUAUGGGUUAGAAGGUUGAUGAGGUCCUGUGCUUUAAUGUCUUUAGCUUCUGUUUGCUUAAAUACUCCAAAGACUUUUGAAAAAGUUCCACCUCUUCAGUAUGUAACCUUUGUUUGCGAUUUAAUUAUUACAUUCUUAUUUACUGCUGAAAUGAUUGCCAAAAUGCAUAUACGAGGUAUACUGAAGAGGGAUAAAUCUUACUUAAAGGAUCACUGGUGCCAAUUUGAUGGGAGUAUGGUUGUCUUCCUUUGGUUGUCUGUAAUUUUACAAAUGUUUGAAAUGUUAGGCUUUGUUUUGAAAUUCAGUUACGUAUCAAUACUACGAGCACCACGUCCGUUGAUCAUGAUACGCUUCCUAAGAGUCUUCCUUAAGUUCUCUAUGCCGAAAGCUAGAAUCAAUCAAAUUUUCAAACGUUCUGGCCAACAGAUAUACAAUGUUACUCUUUUCUUCCUCUUCUUCAUGUCCUUGUAUGGUCUGUUAGGUGUUCAGUUUUUCGGUGAAUUAAAAAAUCACUGCGUUUUGAAUACAACAGAUCCAAAACAUAUAACAAUUAAUAGUUUAGCCAUUCCUGACACGUUUUGUUCUACUGAUCCUGAAUCAGGAUAUCAGUGUCCAGAGGGGAUGACUUGUAUGAAACUCCAGUUGUCCAAAUAUAUUAUAGGAUUCAACGGUUUUGAUGAAUUUGUUACCAGCAUUUUUACUGUUUAUCAAGCUGCAUCUCAAGAAGGAUGGGUUUUUAUUAUGUACCGUGCCAUAGAUAGUUUACCUGCUUGGCGUGCUGUUCUCUACUUCAGCACAAUGAUAUUUUUUCUUGCAUGGCUUGUAAAAAAUGUUUUCAUUGCUGUUAUCACAGAAACAUUCAAUGAAAUACGGGUACAAUUUCAACAGAUGUGGGGAGUCAGAGGACAUAUCAGUAAUAAUACAGCAUCACAAAUAUUAACUGGUGACGAUAAUGGUUGGAAAUUGGUAACUUUGGAUGAAAAUAAACAUGGAGGAUUAGCUUCACCCAUAUGCCAUGCCAUCCUUAGAUCUCCUCACUUCCGUAUGGUGGUGAUGUGUGCAAUCUUAGCAAAUGGUAUCACCACUGCAACCAUGAGAUUCAAGCACGACGAAAAGCCCCGUCACACUUACUAUGACAACUAUUAUUAUGCUGAGAUUGCGUUUACCAUAUUCUUGGAUCUGGAAACACUGUUUAAAAUCUGGUGCCUGGGAUUUCGCAGUUAUUACAAGCAUUCGAUUCACAAAUUCGAGCUGCUAUUAGCAAUUGGUACUACCAUUCACAUCAUUCCACUCUUCUACCUUUCUGGCUUCACAUAUUUCCAGGUCCUUAGAGUUGUCAGACUCAUAAAAGCAUCUCCAAUGUUAGAAGAUUUUGUAUAUAAAAUAUUUGGCCCAGGAAAGAAGUUGGGCAGCCUCAUCAUUUUUACAAUGUGCCUACUGGUUAUAUCAUCUAGUAUUUCUAUGCAGCUUUUUUGUUUUCUGUGCGAUUUUACGAAGUUUGAAACAUUUCCAGAGGCAUUCAUGUCUAUGUUUCAAAUUCUAACACAAGAAGCUUGGGUUGAUGUUAUGGAUGAAACAAUGCUACGUACACAUGAGACAAUGGCACCUCUUGUUGCUAUGUACUUUAUUUUAUAUCAUCUUUUUGUCACACUGAUUGUGCUCAGUUUGUUCGUUGCUGUUAUUUUGGACAAUCUCGAAUUGGAUGAAGAUAUCAAGAAAUUGAAGCAAUUGAAAUUUCGUGAACAGAGUGCAGAAAUAAAAGAAACUCUACCAUUCAGAUUAAGAAUCUUUGAAAAAUUUCCUGACAGUCCUCAAAUGACAUGUCUGCACAAAGUACCAUCAGACUUCAAUCUCCCAAAAGUACGCGAAAGUUUCAUGAGACAAUUUGUGUUUGAGAUGGAAAAUGAAGAAAACGAGGGAGUGAAAAAAAUUAAUGAAACUUUUGAUUCAAAAAUGAUUUACAGGAAACAACGUCCAGUAAAAAUUUUAAAUAAUCCACCAAAAGUAAGAAAUGUUGUUACAAGUCUCAAGAAAGCAGCUGUUAUUUACAUUAUAAAUGAUUCCAACAACCAGAGGUUAUUGUUAGGUGAUUCUGCUAUGAUACCAGUACCGGGAAAAGGUCUCUUGAAGCCACAGGGUACUGUCAGCAGUGCCAAGCAGUUACGCAUAGAUCAGAAAAAAUCAAUUAGAAGAAGCGUUCGUAGCGGAUCAAUCAAGUUAAAACAAACGUAUGAACACUUAAUGGAAAAUGGUGAUAUUGGAGGUAUAAAUAGAGUUAGUUCUUCUCGAAGUAGACCGCAUGAUUUGGACAUUAAAUUAUUGCAAGCUAAACGGCAACAAGCUGAGAUGAGAAGAAACCAACGCGAGGAGGACUUGCGUGAAAAUCACCCAUUUUUUGAUACACCAUUGUUCGCGGUACCGCGCGAGAGUAAAUUCCGUAAAAUUUGCCAGUCGCUCGUUUAUGCAAGAUACGAUACGAACGUAAAAGAUCCGUUAACUGGAAAAGAGAGGAAAGUUCAAUAUAAAAGUUUGCACAAUUUUCUGGGUUUGGUCACGUAUCUCGAUUGGGUAAUGAUCUUCGCUACGACGAUGUCUUGCAUCUCCAUGAUGUUCGAAACCCCACGAUACCGCGUAAUGGAGGUACCGGCGUUGCAGAUUACCGAAUACGGUUUCGUGAUCUUUAUGAGUAUCGAAUUGGCUCUAAAAAUUCUGGCGGACGGAUUGUUUUUCACGCCGAAAGCGUAUAUCAAAGACGUCGCCUCCGUUUUGGACGUUUUUAUCUACGUCGUCAGUCUUGUGUUUCUUUGUUGGAUGCCGAAGAGCGUGCCACCGAAUUCUGGCGCGCAACUUCUCAUGAUCUUACGCUGCGUUAGGCCGUUAAGAAUCUUUACUCUUGUACCACACAUGAGGAAGGUUGUUUACGAGCUGUGUAGAGGCUUCAAAGAGAUCUUAUUGGUGUCUACUCUGUUGUUUCUGUUGAUGUUUAUAUUUGCGAGUUAUGGUGUACAACUUUAUGGAGGUAGAUUAGCUCGUUGCAAUGAUCCCACCAUCCUGAAACGGGAAGAUUGUGUUGGAGUAUUUAUGAGAAGAGUUUUUGUGACGAAAAUGAAACUACGACCAGGCCAAAAUGAGAGUUAUCCAUCUAUACUAGUGCCACGUGUUUGGGCUAAUCCUAGGCGGUUUAAUUUCGACAAUAUCGGUGAUGCAUUGAUGGCACUUUUUGAAGUACUCUCCUUUAAAGGUUGGCUCGACGUUAGAGACGUUCUUAUCAAAGCACUUGGUCCCGUCCAUGCGAUUUAUAUCCAUAUUUAUAUUUUCCUGGGCUGUAUGAUCGGUUUGACGUUGUUUGUUGGUGUUGUUAUUGCUAAUUAUUCUGAAAACAAAGGAACUGCGUUACUCACAGUCGAUCAAAGACGAUGGUGUGAUUUAAAAAAACGAUUGAAAAUUGCUCAACCAUUGCACUUACCACCCAGACCAGACGGAAAGAAAUUUAGAGCCUUUAUCUAUGACAUCACUCAAAACAUCUCUUUCAAAAGAUUCAUCGCAGUCAUGGUACUAAUGAACAGUGCUCUUCUGUGUGUUUCUUGGAGAAUCGAGGAAGAACACACGGAAGCACUCGCUACGGUGUCCACGAUUCUGACACUGAUCUUCCUCGUAGAAGUAAUUAUGAAAAACAUUGCUUUUACACCACGUGGCUAUUGGCAGUCCAGAAGAAACAGAUAUGAUUUGCUGGUGACAGUCGUGGGUGUUAUUUGGAUCGUCAUUCAUUGUACAAUGAAGAACGAUUUGUCAUACGUAAUUGGCUUUAUGGUUGUGAUACUUAGAUUCUUCACGAUAACUGGCAAACAUACGACUCUCAAAAUGUUAAUGUUGACGGUUGGAGUAUCCGUUUGUAAAAGUUUCUUCAUUAUAUUCGGCAUGUUUCUUCUUGUUUUCUUUUAUGCGCUAGCAGGCACUAUCAUCUUUGGAACGGUCAAAUACGGUGAAGGUAUAGGAAGGCGUGCCAAUUUCGAAUCACCUGUAACUGGCGUUGCCAUGCUCUUCCGUAUUGUCACGGGAGAAGAUUGGAAUAAAAUAAUGCACGAUUGCAUGAUACAACCGCCGUAUUGCACUCCGGCUGCUAAUUAUUGGGAGACAGAUUGCGGCAAUUUCCAUGCUUCCUUAAUUUAUUUUUGUACUUUCUACGUCAUUAUUACCUAUAUCGUUUUAAAUCUUCUUGUGGCUAUUAUCAUGGAAAACUUCUCUCUAUUUUACUCCAACGAAGAAGAUGCACUGUUGUCCUACGCUGACAUCAGGAACUUCCAAAAUACCUGGAACGUUGUUGAUAAUCAUCAGAAGGGUUUUAUACCAGUGAAACGGUUUGUUUCAGGUAAAGUUUAUUUUACGGUUAUUAAAAGGUAGACUGGAGACAGACCCACAGAAGGAUAGGCUUCUUUUUAAGCAUAUGUGUUAUGAACUAGAGAAGUUGAACAAUGGCGAAGAUGUUACUUUCCAUGAUGUUAUCAAUAUGUUAUCAUAUCGUUCAGUUGAUAUAAGAAAAGCCUUACAACUUGAAGAAUUGUUAGCAAGAGAAGAAUUUGAAUACAUUAUUGAGGAAGAAGUUGCAAAGCAAACUAUUAGAAAUUGGUUGGAGGGCUGUUUGAAGA
RNAcentral lists this unclassified non-coding RNA (5566 nucleotides) under Megachile rotundata (alfalfa leafcutting bee). RNAcentral's name for it is "sodium leak channel non-selective protein, transcript variant X7". Lineage: Eukaryota; Metazoa; Arthropoda; Insecta; Hymenoptera; Megachilidae. The record is from RNAcentral.